ACCUUGUUCCCACAGCUCUAUGACGACAGCAAGCAGCACAGCGAGGCUGAUCGUGCACAGCUGACCCACUGCAUCAUGCUGCAGGCCCGGAUCUGCCCAGAAGAAAUGAUCCUGUUUUUGCAGUCACAGCUGGAAGAUGACUGGGAGGCUGGAUGCGUGGCAGCCCUGGGUCUGCUGGGUACUCUGGCUCGCUCUGAUGAGCCCAUGAUGACGGAGAAGCUGCCCCAGGUUGUCAAGGUUGUGCAGCGUCUGUGCAGCGACCCUAGGAUCCGGGUGAG
Molecule: non-coding RNA, 278 nt
Organism: Meleagris gallopavo (turkey)
Lineage: Eukaryota; Metazoa; Chordata; Aves; Galliformes; Phasianidae
Source: RefSeq, a predicted model, not a curated record